Saccostrea cuccullata (small rock oyster) is the source of this 425-nucleotide long non-coding RNA. RefSeq lists it as uncharacterized. The record is from RefSeq and is a predicted model, not a curated record. The transcript is spliced from 4 exons. NCBI's taxonomy places the organism in Eukaryota, Metazoa, Mollusca, Bivalvia, Ostreida, Ostreidae.
GAAUGCAAUGACCCAGAUAUUAAAUUGACAGGACUUUAAAUAAAGACGCAGUAUCCACAAGCAAUCCUCCUGAUGACUAAUUCGAAAAAACAGCUGUCGUCAAUUGAGAGGAAACUUAUCACAACUCAACGAAGAAAUGACAGCUAUGAACAGAUCUGGAUUCCUCCUCUGUUGUUUCUUGUGCUUCUUUCGAAUAAGUCAAAUAAGUUCAUCCAUAACAGCUAUAGGGUCCACCCCAGUAACAUUGUGUGCUGAAGAUGUGUUGGUUUUUCUACAGCAUCUGAAUGUAUCUACUGCGGAUGGUUCGUGUUAUUAUAAUACAACAAAAGGACACAUGCCUUCUUGCAAAAUAUGACUCAAGGUAAUUUUUUCCUACGUUAGUCUACUCUAAUUUGUUUUGUAGAAAUUAACUGACAUCAGAUGAA